AAAGGAAUUGACGGGGCCCGCACAAGCGGUGGAGCAUGUGGUUUAAUUCGACGCAACGCGAAGAACCUUACCAGGGCUUGACAUCUUCUGACCGCUUAAGGAAACUUAAGCUUUCCGGAAGGUUUACUUUCUGGACAGAAAGACAGGUGGUGCAUGGUUGUCGUCAGCUCGUGUCGUGAGAUGUUGGGUUAAGUCCCGCAACGAGCGCAACCCCUACGGUUAGUUGCUAACGGGUAAGGCCGAGCACUUUAGCCGAACUGCCGUUGACAAAACGGAGGAAGGCGGGAUGACGUCAAAUCAUCAUGCCCUUUAUGUCCUGGGCUACACACGUGCUACAAUGGCCUGUACAAAGGGCAGCAAAGGGGCGACCCGGAGCAAAUCCCAAAAAACAGGUCUCAGUUCGGAUUGCAGGCUGCAACUCGCCUGCAUGAAGGCGGAAUCGCUAGUAAUCGCAGGUCAGCAUACUGCGGUGAAUACGUUCCCGGGCCUU
RNAcentral lists this ribosomal RNA (490 nucleotides) under uncultured Desulfotomaculum sp. Its description in RNAcentral is "bacterial SSU rRNA". It matches the Rfam family "Bacterial small subunit ribosomal RNA", at positions 903 to 1382 of the family's 1533-position model. The record is from RNAcentral. Lineage: Bacteria; Bacillati; Bacillota; Clostridia; Eubacteriales; Desulfotomaculaceae.